AAGUGUUUUCUGCUGCUGGUGAACUAUAGAAGCCGUAACUUAUUCCGUUUAAAUCUUAUAUUUUCACGCAAAUUUGCGAAUUUGAAAUGGAACCUAUUGAAAGAAAAUUAAAUUUGCAUUCCGCUGAGACCAAGCAACCUGACUCCCAGACGAUUAGCCUCACUUUGGGAGAUAUUCUGGACUACAUAGGAGAUUCAAUCAGACCACUUCGGGAAGGGCAGUCGGUCUUCGAAUCAGGACAUAUUGUAUUCAUUGGCUACACAAAUUCGAAGGGAGUGUAUUUGGACGUUGUUGGCUUUGUACUUCAAAGUUCCCACCCGGGGGAUGUUCCUCAUGAGGUAAAACUUCAGAUCUGUCCCGAUUAUCGGCAAUGGAUACUGAGCUGCACAUGUAAAGCGGGAACUGCAAGAUGUAAGCACAUCAUUGCUUGCUUGCUGCAUAUUUCAAAAGCUGGGUAUGUCGAAUUCUUAACUUGCACCAGCUCUCGUCAAGCAUGGGGAAUUAGUAAAGCGGAAAAAACUAGUCUAUGGAAAGCGAAGCGCGUUAAGGAACUUUGUUGCGUUCGAAAACAUGCUGUUUUCC
Armigeres subalbatus is the source of this 582-nucleotide long non-coding RNA. RefSeq lists it as uncharacterized. The transcript has 3 exons. The record is from RefSeq and is a predicted model, not a curated record. Lineage: Eukaryota; Metazoa; Arthropoda; Insecta; Diptera; Culicidae.